ACAUUACAUUAGCGUAUUAGACAUGUUCACGUUAUCACUUAUCACGUAAAGUCCAAAUUGGCAAAUUCCAAAACAACACGAAAAUCGAAAAUAGAAAGAGAGAGACUCUUUGUCUCUUCAUCUUCCUCACUGCGGCACAUCCAAUUCCAGAAUACAGACCUGAGAGUUGAGACUUCCAUAGUUCCAUUCCAGAGUCCAGACUUUCCACUCUAGUUUCCAGUUCAGCACUUCGUCUUCCUCAUCAUCUGUUCCAGUGGAUUCCAGAGCAAGAGCCAAGAGCAGACCAGACUCCAUCACUCCAGAGAGGCAGAGAUCGAGAUUCGAGAAUCCUCCCAAACAGAGUUUUUCGUCUGCCGCAGUUCAGGCAGGCACUCUGCACUUAGGCACUCCUUCACUGCCAGUUUACAGGCUUACAACAGCCAACAGGUAUUUAUUAACUUAAUCCUCCCAAACAGAGUUCUUCGUCUGCUGCAGUUCAGGCAGGCACUCCUUCACCGCCAGUUUACAGGCUUACAACAGCCAACAGGUAUUUAUUAACUUCUUCUUCUUCUUCUCCUCCAGAAGUCCAAAGUCCCAGCAUUCUGAAAGUGACACUACCAAAGGUUGAAGGCAUUCUGAAAUUCUCUAAUCAUUCUUUUUACCAUUAAUAAAUACUUGUAAUCCGUCUGACGAAUCCGGCUAUUCUGUUCUGUGGAGUGUAGAUUCAGUUCGGAUAUUGAUAUUUUUCCUCAAUGGCCAUCCCAACAAUGACUUAUAACUGUUUUACACUUUUACUUUGUUGUCUUGUUGACUCUAAGCCUAAGGUAUAAACUAAUGGGAAUUGCUUUCAAAUAAUCUGGUACACUUCUCAUUCCAGAUGAUCCACAGAAUCAUGGGGGGAGCUGAUCGGAUCACAGAAUGAAGCUGAGAGUUCUUAGUGCUGAGGGCCCACCAAUGAAUAAGUCUUUGAGUGAGAGUGGGUCGGGUAGAUUGGAAUCAUCGGAUCAUUGGAAUGUCAAACAAAUUGCUGAAAAAUGACCAGAUUUUACGACCAAGAACACUUGCACUGAAGAGAUGAUUGAUGGUUUCUAUGUGAUGAGAUCCACGACAACGACACUUUGGAACCAUGCACAGACCUUUCUUUGAAAUCAUUUCCUAUCUUUCCCUAAUUCCCUUCCUUUCCCUACCUUUUCCUUCAACCAAUCCAAUCUUGCACCAACUCAGCCAACAGUAUAGGCUCAAGGAAAGAGUACAAAUACAAAUACAGACAGAUUUUAUACUGUAUCUUAAUUUAGAUUUUAUACAAAUAUAUAAAAUACAAAUACAGAGUACAAAUACAAAAUCUUUUAAAUAUUUAGAUUUUAUACUGUAUCUGAAUUCUAUAUGUUGUAUUCUUUAUUGUUUAUUGAAAGAAAAAAGAAGAGAAAGUUCAUUAAAACUUUAAAAAUAGUGGAAAUGAGCCAACAAAAUAUGUUAGUGAACUAACUAGAAAACUCAAUACCCUAUUCAUAACACAUUUUUAAAAUUAACUAUAAAACUCAAUACCUUAUUCGUAACACAUUUGUUUUUAUCUUGAUAGGGAUUUGGACUUGGAUUCUUGGAGUAUUUAUUUAGUGUGCUAUAUUUUUUAGCAACUCAUUUGCUUUAUUGUGCAAUAUGUCACAACAAAUUGGAGAGACUCCUACCAAUAUUACUGAAAUUGGAAGUCCACACCCCCGGCCACGACCUUCCAACCAAAUGAAUUCGAUGAAUGUAGUUGCUAAAGGAAAAAAAAAAAAAGCGAUGAAGCCAAGGUCAGAGGUAUGGGACCACUUUUCCAAAAUUAUCUCAGAUAAUGGUGAAAUAAACGGCAAGUGCAACUAUUGUGAUAGAGAAUUUUGUUGUGACCCUAAGAAAAAUGGGACAGGCUCAUUAAGGAACCACAUGAACAUAUGUAAGAAAAACCCCUAUAGCUUAAAGGCAAAACAAUCACAGUUAAAUAUGCAAUCAGCCUGAAGGGAGGGGGAGGGUGAAAACAAUGAGAAGAUGAGUUCCCUUAGUUGUUGGAAGUUUAACCAAGAGGCCAUUAGAAAGGGCUUAGCUGAGAUGCUCAUUGUUGAUGAGCUUCCAUUCAAGUUUGUGGAUGGUGAGGGCUUUAAAAAGUUUUUCACUUUCUUGUCCUAGGUUUCGGAUUCCAUCUAGAUGGACUAUUAUUAGAGAUUGUUACCAAUUGUACCUAGAUGAGAAAUUGGAGUUAAAGAAAUUCCUAAAAAAAGCAUGGCAAAGGAUUUGUCUUACUACAGACACAUGGUCUUCUUUGCAAAGGAUCAACUACAUGUGUUUAACGGCCCACUUUAUUGAUAAUGAUUGGAAAUUGAAUAAAAAGGUUCUUAACUUUUGUACAAUUUCUAGUCAUAGAGGAGAGGCCAUUGGUAAGGCGGUGGAAAAAUGUUUGAUUGAAUGGGGGAUUGAUACAGUUGACAAUGCGAGUUCAAAUGAUAUUGCAAUUACAUACUUGAAAAGGAAAAUUUCUAAUUGGGGAACUUGUAUUCUAGAUGGGAAACUGCUUCAUAUGAGGUGCAUUGCACACAUUAUAAAUCUAGUUGUGAAUGAUGGCUUGAAAGAAAUGGGUAAGUCUAUUAGUCGUGUUCGGGAGGUUGUGAGAUAUGUAAGGCAAUCUUUGGCUAGGUUGCAAAAAUUUAAAGAAUUUGUUGAGGUUGAAAAGAUUCAAAGUAAGAGUUUGUUGUGUUUAGAUGUUAGUACUAGAUGGAAUUCGACAUACCUAAUGUUGGAUGCAGCUCAAAAGUUUGAAAGAGUCUGAGAGGUUUGAGGAUCAUGAUCCUCAUUUUAGAAGUGAACUUGAGACGGAGGAUGGGAUUCCUACUUGUUUUGAUUGGGAGAAUGUUAGGAGGCUAGUGCUAUUUUUAAAGCAUUUUUAUGAUCUCACAGUACGGGUUUCGGCCUCCUUGUAUGUCACAUCAAACAACUUUUUCCAUGAAAUUAAUGCAGUUGAGUGCCUUUUGCAAGAAUGGGUAAACAAUGAGGACAAAAAUUUAAGGGAGAUGGCAGAGAGGAUGAAAGGGAAGUACGAUAAGUAUUGGGGAAACAUUGAAAAGAUGAAUAAGUUGAUCUAUAUUGCAGUUGUAUUAGACCCUCAACACAAAUUAGAGUAUGAGUUUGUACUUAAUGAAACUUAUCAAGGUGCCAAGGGUCAAGAAUUUGCAAAAAGAGUCAGGGAAGCCUUGUAUGAGUUGUAUAAUGAAUAUAAGAGUAUGUUUGCACCUCAGAGUGGAAGUGGACAAACUACUGAAAAUGUUAAGUGUUCAAUUUCAAGUGAGAUAGAGAGUGAGCAACCCCAAUAAUCACAAGCAAAGAAGAUGUUGAUGAUGUCUCGAUUUAAGAAAUACAAGUUAGUAAGUGGAGGGGGAGAUGCUAAAUCAGAGUUGGAUAGACAUCUGAAUGAAGAUACUAAAGAGGGACAAGGUAAUGACGACUUUGAUAUUUUAAGUUGGUGGAAAGUUAACAGUCCCAGAUUCCCUAUACUUUCACAGAUGGCUCGUGAUGUAUAGCAGUUCCCAUUUCUACAAUUGCUUCUAAGUCCACUUUUAGCAUUGGAGGACGAGUGCUUGAUGCAUUUAGGAGCUCUUUGACACCUAAGGUAGCAGAAGCACUUAUAUGUACUCGAGAUUGGACUCGGUCAUCGAAACAUGCAAUUAAUGUUGAAGAAGAUUUAGAAGAGAUUGAUAAAUUUGAAAAUGAUUUACCUAAGAGUGCAUCGGAGCAAGGAAUAGUGGUUGAUAUUUGAUUAUUAAAUUCAUUCCUAUGCUUAUUCUUGGAUUAUAGCAGGUGGGACUUGGGAGGCAAAGUCUUUGUGGAAAUGCUGUAGCGGUGGAAGUUUUGGACUUUUGGUUGUCUUUGUGGCAAAGUCUUUGAAGCUUUGAAAGUUUUGGACUAUUAUGUAUUCUUCCUAUUUUGUUUGGUGACUAGAAUCGCUCAUUCAAGAAUAACAGGACCUUCUAUUAUGUCUUUGUGGCAAACAGGACCUUCUUAGUUCCUAUUUUGUUUGAUUUUUGAAAUGCAAGUUUUCUGUCGUAUUUUAACA
This is a non-coding RNA of Nelumbo nucifera (sacred lotus), 4060 nucleotides long. The record is from RefSeq and is a predicted model, not a curated record. Lineage: Eukaryota; Viridiplantae; Streptophyta; Magnoliopsida; Proteales; Nelumbonaceae.